AUUGAACGCUGGCGGCAGGCCUAACACAUGCAAGUCGAGCGGCUGAAGGGUGCUAGCUCCUUGUUUCAGGUGCGGACGGGCGAAUAAUGGCUAGGAACCUGCCUGGCUGCGGGUGCUAACGUCCGGACGCGGGCACUCAUACGCCAUUCGUCCUUACGGCGUACGUGGGAGAUCUUCGGACCUCCCGCCCUCGGAUGAUCCUAGGUCGGAUUAGCUAGUUGGUGGGGUAAAGGCCUACCAAGGCGACGAUCCGUAGCUGGUCUGAGAGGAUGAUCAGUCACACUGGAACUGAGACACGGUCCAGACUCCUACGGGAGGCAGCAGUGGGGAAUAUUGGACAAUGGGCGAAAGCCUGAUCCAGCCAUGCCGCGUGGGUGAAGAAGGUCUUCGGAUUGUAAAGCACUUUUGGUUGGGAGGAAGGGCAGUAAGUUAAUACCUUGCUGUUUUGACGGUACCAAAAGAAUAAGCACCGGCUAACUUCGUG
RNAcentral lists this ribosomal RNA (484 nucleotides) under uncultured bacterium. RNAcentral describes it as "partial 16S ribosomal RNA". It matches the Rfam family "Bacterial small subunit ribosomal RNA", at positions 30 to 507 of the family's 1533-position model. The record is from RNAcentral.